This 241-nucleotide ribosomal RNA is filed under the name uncultured Actinomycetales bacterium. Its description in RNAcentral is "partial 16S ribosomal RNA". It matches the Rfam family "Bacterial small subunit ribosomal RNA", at positions 89 to 334 of the family's 1533-position model. Lineage: Bacteria; Bacillati; Actinomycetota; Actinomycetes; Actinomycetales. The record is from RNAcentral.
ACUCGAGUAGCGAACGGGUGAGUAACACGUGGGUGAUCUGCCCUGCACUUCGGGAUAAGCCUGGGAAACUGGGUCUAAUACCGGAUAGGAGCCAUUUUUAGUGUGAUGGUUGGAAAGUUUUUCGGUGUAGGAUGAGCUCGCGGCCUAUCAGCUUGUUGGUGGGGUAAUGGCCUACCAAGGCGGCGACGGGUAGCCGGCCUGAGAGGGUGGACGGCCACAUUGGGACUGAGAUACGGCCCAG